GAGUUUGAUCAUGGCUCAGAUUGAACGCUGGCGGCAGGCUUAACACAUGCAAGUCGAACGAUGAUUACUAGCUUGCUAGUAUGAUUAGUGGCGAACGGGUGAGUAAUGCUUAGGAAUCUGCCUAUUAGUGGGGGACAACAUUCCGAAAGGAAUGCUAAUACCGCAUACGUCCUACGGGAGAAAGCAGGGGAUCGCAAGACCUUGCGCUAAUAGAUGAGCCUAAGUCGGAUUAGCUAGUUGGUGGGGUAAAGGCCUACCAAGGCGACGAUCUGUAGCUGGUCUGAGAGGAUGAUCAGCCACACUGGGACUGAGACACGGCCCAGACUCCUACGGGAGGCAGCAGUGGGGAAUAUUGGACAAUGGGCGAAAGCCUGAUCCAGCCAUGCCGCGUGUGUGAAGAAGGCCUUUUGGUUGUAAAGCACUUUAAGUGGGGAGGAAAAGCUAAUAAUUAAUACCUAUAGCCCUGACGUACC
Molecule: ribosomal RNA, 473 nt
Filed under: Moraxella sp. canine oral taxon 017
Lineage: Bacteria; Pseudomonadati; Pseudomonadota; Gammaproteobacteria; Moraxellales; Moraxellaceae
Description: bacterial SSU rRNA
Rfam family: Bacterial small subunit ribosomal RNA
Source: RNAcentral